Molecule: ribosomal RNA, 368 nt
Filed under: uncultured organism
Description: bacterial SSU rRNA
Rfam family: Bacterial small subunit ribosomal RNA
Source: RNAcentral
CGGAGGAUGCAAGCGUUAUCCGGAUUCAUUGGGUUUAAAGGGUGCGUAGGCGGCUUUUUAAGUCAGUGGUGAAAUCCUGCCGCUUAACGGUAGAAUUGCCAUUGAUACUGAAAAGCUUGAGUACGGUUGAGGUAAGCGGAAUGUGUAGUGUAGCGGUGAAAUGCUUAGAUAUUACACAGAACACCAAUUGCGAAGGCAGCUUACUAAACCGGCAACUGACGCUGAUGCACGAAAGCGUGGGGAGCGAACAGGAUUAGAUACCCUGGUAGUCCACGCCGUAAACGAUGUUCACUCGCUGUUUGCGAUACACAGCAAGCGGCCAAGCGAAAGCAUUAAGUGAACCACCUGGGGAUACGAUCGCAAGGUUG